Molecule: transfer RNA, 100 nt
Filed under: Malassezia sp. CBS 17886
Lineage: Eukaryota; Fungi; Basidiomycota; Malasseziomycetes; Malasseziales; Malasseziaceae
Description: tRNA-Thr
Rfam family: tRNA
About the family: Transfer RNA (tRNA) molecules are approximately 80 nucleotides in length. Their secondary structure includes four short double-helical elements and three loops (D, anti-codon, and T loops).
Source: RNAcentral
GCCCGCUUAGCUCAGUGGUAGAGCGCGUCACUAGUACCUCCCACGUUCGUGGACGCCGUCCGGUAUGACGAGGUCGGUUGUUCGAUCCAGCCAGUGGGCA